GCUGUGCGGGGAGAAUAGUGGGAGCUGAGGCAUGGGGCACAGGGUUUUAUAAAGAGAGCAUGAUCUAAGGGAUGCAGUGUUGUUGUGUCUUAACAAUUUAGCUUGGUUCUAACAUUGUCUACUGGAGAUGGCAUCAGAACCAACAAAUUCUGGAGUGUCUCAGGAUUGCCCCGCCCCCACCUCCGCUUCAGACCGACUGCAGAUAAUGGUUGUGAAUCACCAUGUGGUUGCUGGGAAUUGAACUCAGGACCUCUGGAAGAGCAGUCAUUGCGCUUAACCACUGAGCCAUAUCUCCAGCCACCUGACGUGAACUCUUCAGCGACAGGCUAGCCUCUGCCUCUUGAGUGCUGGGAUUAAAGCUUCAGUUCGGUGCAGCUCCUGAUGGUACAGGGACCAGUUUACAGCUGGCUCCAAGCAUCAGCUGACAAGAGGAUCCAACCUAGCAUUGUCACGGAUCUUAAAUGAAGCCAACACGUUAGCAAACCAGGUGGUUUGGAGUUGGGCCGUAUCAGAUGCCCAGAGGAAGGACACAAAUCACCAUGCCUCUGUAACCAGCAUGCCACAGGACCUGAGGAGAGUACAGCUAGCAUUAUUUUAAAGAUACAGACAACAUCAACCGAUGGGAAAUAUCCUGUGUACACUUCAAGGACUGUUCCCACAGGCAAGAGAAGCUGGCCUGCUGCAUGCACACCAUGUGCAAACAGACCAGCCCUUCCUCAGCUCUCCUGCUCCUCUCUGUCUAAACAUUGUUGAAGCUUUGUUUUGGGGUUGAGUGGCUUAAAGACUGUAACCAUGGUCACUAACAACAGGGAUACAUCUUUGUGAGCGUAUCGUUGAGUGUGCUUUCGUAAGCCUCAAUGGUAUGAGCUAAUUUACUCUAUGACAUGGCCUCUUGUGCAACCAGCAACUGUAAAUGCAGCAUCAGGAGGCUGCUGCUGGCCUAACAUGACAAACUUUUAAGUAAACUCCUUUUGAUC
RNAcentral lists this long non-coding RNA (977 nucleotides) under Mus musculus (house mouse). RNAcentral's name for it is "predicted gene 13657". The record is from RNAcentral. Lineage: Eukaryota; Metazoa; Chordata; Mammalia; Rodentia; Muridae.